This is a long non-coding RNA of Cercocebus atys (sooty mangabey), 263 nucleotides long. RefSeq lists it as uncharacterized. The record is from RefSeq and is a predicted model, not a curated record. The transcript is spliced from 2 exons. NCBI's taxonomy places the organism in Eukaryota, Metazoa, Chordata, Mammalia, Primates, Cercopithecidae.
GAGACUUCCCAGGGAGGGUGACAUGAGCAAAUGCAUCCAGAGGGAAGAAGAAAUGUGGAUACUCAGAGAGACACCAGGGUUGUACACACAAAGGAAAGACCAUGUAAGGCACAGAAAGAAGGCAGCCAUCUAUAAGCCAAGUGGAGAGGACUGGAAUGGAUCUUCCCUUAUGGCCCUCAGAAGAAACCACCCCUGCUGAUGCUUUUAUCUUAGACUUCUAGCUUCCAGAACUGUGAGAAAAUAAAUAUCUGUUGUUUAAGCCA